This is a long non-coding RNA of Sardina pilchardus (European sardine), 331 nucleotides long. RefSeq lists it as uncharacterized. The record is from RefSeq and is a predicted model, not a curated record. Lineage: Eukaryota; Metazoa; Chordata; Actinopteri; Clupeiformes; Clupeidae. The transcript has 3 exons.
GUUGACGCUGACCAAAGGACGGCAAGAGCCUGCUGCAAAGUCACAAAUUCAUGGAGGUUGAACUCUUCUGAUGUUUUGAUCCAUUGACGUCAAAGGCGCCGGGUCUGUUGGCAAACCGCAGAAAAUUGUCCACAGUAGGUUUGUCUUCAUUUGGAUGAGGAGCAUCUCUGCACGCAGCAGUGAGGAGCCAUUGUUGGUAACGUUAACUCCAGUCUGUGGGAUACGCAUAACUGCUGGCAGAAGGGGACGCCCCAGGAGAGCUGAGUGAGAAAUAAAAAGGUGUGCGUUGUUCCGCCUCGAAGCAUGGGCCUGAGAAUCCUCCCCCCGCACC